Molecule: ribosomal RNA, 353 nt
Filed under: uncultured bacterium
Lineage: Bacteria
Description: bacterial SSU rRNA
Rfam family: Bacterial small subunit ribosomal RNA
Source: RNAcentral
GGACCCGCACAAGUAGUGGAGCAUGUGGUUUAAUUCGAAGAUACGCGCAGAACCUUACCAACACUUGACAUGUUCGUCGCGACUUUAAGAGAUUAAAGUUUUCGGUUCGGCCGGACGAAACACAGGUGCUGCAUGGCUGUCGUCAGCUCGUGUCGUGAGAUGUUGGUUAAGUCCCGCAACGAGCGCAACCCUCACUUUUAGUUGCCAUCAUUUAGUUGGGCACUCUGAAAGAACUGCCAGUGAUAAGCUGGAGGAAGGUGGGGAUGACGUCAAGUCCUCAUGGCCCUUACGUGUUGGGCUACACACGUGCUACAAUGGCAUCUAACAAUAGGAAGCAAAAUGGCAACAUUGAG